GGAUUAGAUACCCUGGUAGUCCACGCUGUAAACGAUGGUCACUAGCUGUAUGGGCGCAAGUCUGUGUGGCUAAGCGAAAGUGAUAAGUGACCCACCUGGGGAGUACGUUCGCAAGAAUGAAACUCAAAGGAAUUGACGGGGGCCCGCACAAGCGGUGGAGCAUGUGGUUUAAUUCGAUGAUACGCGAGGAACCUUACCAAGGCUUAAAUGUAGAUUGACGUACUGAGAGAUCGGUAUUUCUUCGGACAAUUUACAAGGUGCUGCAUGGUUGUCGUCAGCUCGUGCCG
This 287-nucleotide ribosomal RNA is filed under the name uncultured bacterium. RNAcentral describes it as "partial 16S ribosomal RNA". It matches the Rfam family "Bacterial small subunit ribosomal RNA", at positions 775 to 1067 of the family's 1533-position model. The record is from RNAcentral.